AAGGUUGACCUCGGAUCAGGUAGGAUUACCCGCUGAACUUAA
This 42-nucleotide ribosomal RNA is filed under the name Ophiostoma piceae. RNAcentral describes it as "partial 26S ribosomal RNA". Lineage: Eukaryota; Fungi; Ascomycota; Sordariomycetes; Ophiostomatales; Ophiostomataceae. RNAcentral also lists the same sequence under 2 other names. The record is from RNAcentral.